CACAUCAAUCGUUUCCGAAAUUUUGCGAACUUUUUCGAGAUUAUCUUUGAAAUGCUGAGGAAACACUCUUGUUUGCACUCUGCCGACGUACUUAAGCCAUCCUAACUCUUCAGAAGCAUCACUCUCAAAGUUCGUAAGAUCAAAAAAUGGUAAAAGAGCCAUUUGUAAGUCAAAUACCCCUAAAACUCUAACUACUUUUCUGUUUGGCAAACGAAAGAUUCACAUCGCCCCAAGUAACAAUCAUAAAUCACCUUUAGGUAACCAGGUUACAAUGCGUCAGAUUUUCUGACUCAAAAGAGAUCUCAAGUAGGGAGAGUAGGUGAAUCAUCAAAGAUAAAAACAGUAAUUUUUAGCUUCAUAAAUACUUCCAUCAAUUUUUUAAGUCAUUAUUUUGAAACCACUUUCGCAAAUUAGGAUUCUCGUUGGCAUAGCGAAAUCCUUGCUUGGUUAGGAAACAGUCUUUUGGUGGCAUUUAUAAUACUCUUAAUUUAGUUGAAAUAAAAUCAUUAUCUUAAAUUCCUUUUAAAAGUAGACACGAAUAGCGUCUGCAGCAACAUUUUCAUUAGGACAGUAGGGACAUUUGAAUCGUUGAGAGCCAUUUCGA
Molecule: non-coding RNA, 604 nt
Organism: Schizosaccharomyces pombe (fission yeast)
Lineage: Eukaryota; Fungi; Ascomycota; Schizosaccharomycetes; Schizosaccharomycetales; Schizosaccharomycetaceae
Source: the annotation of a GenBank genome assembly